CAAUUUCAAUGAGUAGAUCCGCCCCUGGAAACAAGAAACUAGUAGACAACUAUACUACAUGUACUCACUCAAUAUUAACAACAACAACAACAACAAACCCACCAUAGUCACACAAGUGAGGUCCGAGGAGCGUAGUGAGUAAGCAUACCUUACCUCUACCUAGAAGGUAGAGAAGUUAUUUCCGAUAGUUUCUCGGCCCAAAGAAAGCUGAAGAGAAAGCAGUAGUAACAAGUAACAGCAACAAGACAUUGGGAGCGCCACCCCCCCCCCCCCCN
RNAcentral lists this long non-coding RNA (275 nucleotides) under Nicotiana benthamiana. RNAcentral's name for it is "long non-coding RNA (NBEN_LNC036235)". Lineage: Eukaryota; Viridiplantae; Streptophyta; Magnoliopsida; Solanales; Solanaceae. The record is from RNAcentral.